AACCCGACUCCAUGAAGCUGGAUUCGCUAGUAAUCGCGCAUCAGCCACGGCGCGGUGAAUACGUUCCCGGGCCUUGUACACACCGCCCGUCACACCAUGAGAGUUGGCAAUACCCAACGUACGUGAUCUAACCCGCAAGGGAGGAAGCGUCCUAAGGUAGGGUCAGCGAUUGGGGUGAAGUCGUAACAAGGUACC
This 195-nucleotide ribosomal RNA is filed under the name uncultured bacterium. RNAcentral's name for it is "partial 16S ribosomal RNA". It matches the Rfam family "Bacterial small subunit ribosomal RNA", at positions 1309 to 1500 of the family's 1533-position model. The record is from RNAcentral.